Molecule: ribosomal RNA, 465 nt
Filed under: uncultured bacterium
Lineage: Bacteria
Description: partial 16S ribosomal RNA
Rfam family: Bacterial small subunit ribosomal RNA
Source: RNAcentral
GACGAACGCUGGCGGCGUGCUUAACACAUGCAAGUCGAACGGAAGGGCCCCCUUGUGGGGUACUCGAGUGGCGAACGGGUGAGUAACACGUGAGUAACCUACCCUUGACUUUGGGAUAACUUCAGGAAACUGGGGCUAAUACCGGAUAGGAGCUCCUGCUGCAUGGUGGGGGUUGGAAAGUUUCGGCGGUUGGGGAUGGACUCGCGGCUUAUCAGCUUGUUGGUGGGGUAGUGGCUCACCAAGGCCUUGACGGGUAGCCGGCCUGGGAGGGUGACCGGGCACAUUGGGACUGCGGUACGGCGCAGACUCGUACGGGAGGCAACAGUGGGGAAUAUUGCACAGUGGGCGGGAGCGUGAUACGGCAACGCCGCGUGCGGAAUGACGGCCUUCGGGUUGUAAACCGCUUUCGCCUGUGACGAAGCGUGAGUGACGGUAAUGAGUAAAGAAGCACCGGCUAACUACGUG